AACACAUGCAAGUCGAGCGGCAGCGGGGAAGUAGCUUGCUACUUUUGCCGGCGAGCGGCGGACGGGUGAGUAAUGCCUGGGGAUCUGCCCAGUCGAGGGGGAUAACUACUGGAAACGGUAGCUAAUACCGCAUACGCCCUACGGGGGAAGGCGGGGGACCUUCGGGCCUUGCGCGAUUGGAUGAACCCAGGUGGGAUUAGCUAGUUGGUGAGGUAAUGGCUCACCAAGGCGACGAUCCCUAGCUGGUCUGAGAGGAUGAUCAGCCACACUGGAACUGAGACACGGUCCAGACUCCUACGGGAGGCAGCAGUGGGGAAUAUUGCACAAUGGGGGAAACCCUGAUGCAGCCAUGCCGCGUGUGUGAAGAAGGCCUUCGGGUUGUAAAGCACUUUCAGCGAGGAGGAAAGGUUGGUAGCUAAUAACUGCCAGCUGUGACGUUACUCGCACAAGAAGCACCGGCUAACUCCGUGCCAGCAGCCGGUUAAU
Molecule: ribosomal RNA, 486 nt
Filed under: Aeromonas veronii
Lineage: Bacteria; Pseudomonadati; Pseudomonadota; Gammaproteobacteria; Aeromonadales; Aeromonadaceae
Description: bacterial SSU rRNA
Rfam family: Bacterial small subunit ribosomal RNA
Source: RNAcentral